CAGGCCUAACACAUGCAAGUCGAACGCACCUUCGGGUGAGUGGCAGACGGGUGAGUAACACGUGGGAACGUGCCUUUCGGUUCGGAAUAACUCAGGGAAACUUGAGCUAAUACCGGAUACGCCCUUACGGGGAAAGGUUUACUGCCGAAGGAUCGGCCCGCGUCUGAUUAGCUAGUUGGUGAGGUAACGGCUCACCAAGGCGACGAUCAGUAGCUGGUCUGAGAGGAUGAUCAGCCACACUGGGACUGAGACACGGCCCAGACUCCUACGGGAGGCAGCAGUGGGGAAUAUUGGACAAUGGGCGAAAGCCUGAUCCAGCCAUGCCGCGUGAGUGAUGAAGGCCUUAGGGUUGUAAAGCUCUUUCGACGGGGACGAUAAUGACGGUACCCGUAGAAGAAGCCCCGGCUAACUUCGUGCCAGCAGCCGCGGUAAU
Molecule: ribosomal RNA, 433 nt
Filed under: uncultured bacterium
Lineage: Bacteria
Description: bacterial SSU rRNA
Rfam family: Bacterial small subunit ribosomal RNA
Source: RNAcentral